Molecule: long non-coding RNA, 624 nt
Organism: Magnolia sinica
Lineage: Eukaryota; Viridiplantae; Streptophyta; Magnoliopsida; Magnoliales; Magnoliaceae
Exons: 4
Source: RefSeq, a predicted model, not a curated record
UACCUGUGCAGGGAAAAGAUAGAACGCAAACACUAUCUCAUCUUUGGAUCCACUGAGGUGGGUGAGAUCUCUAAUCAUGGGGCUUAUCAUAGGUUAAGAUUGGCUUAAAAAUGAAGUAAUGUAUGAUUUGUUUUUUUCUUUUUUACUUUUCUUAAGAUUCUUUUACCUGGAAUUUUCCUUUCCUGCAUGUAGCAAAGAAAAAAGGGAUCUGGCUUUUCUUUCUUUUUUUUCCUGAAGGUUUCUGCUUUGAUAGAUUCUUCUUCAGAUUGAGAGAAAUGGGGGGUCUGCUUGGGAAUCUUGUCCCUGUCCCUGAAUACUUCUGGUGACAUCGAUUUUGCAAAUCCUUUACUUUCUUCGAUCUGGUCUGUUUGGAUUCCACCGUUUUUGCAGUUUUGCAGUCUGCCUUAGGGAAUCAAUUAUGCAAAGCUAGAAAAUCUGUGUCCAAUUAUAGGACCCUGGCAGUUUUACAGGACCUAAGAUCUUUUGGUCUAGUUCUAGUCUCUCGACUGAAGCUACUGGCUAUGGACUGAACUUUGCGAGCCCAAAGUCAGCAACUUUUGGCUUGAAGUUGUCAUCAAGGAGAAUGUUGUGAGGCUUGAUGUCAAAAUGUAGAAUCUUCAUGUC